Long non-coding RNA from Sinocyclocheilus anshuiensis, 208 nucleotides. RefSeq lists it as uncharacterized. The transcript has 3 exons. The record is from RefSeq and is a predicted model, not a curated record. NCBI's taxonomy places the organism in Eukaryota, Metazoa, Chordata, Actinopteri, Cypriniformes, Cyprinidae.
ACAUCACACACUCAUCUACAUCAUGACCUUCACCAUCUUCUCCAUCACCUGCCUUGCCCUGGUGGCCUCUGCUCUGGGUUGUGGAGUGCCUGCGAUUAAACCACAGACGAUCGGCAGCAGGAUUGUGAACGGACAGAAUGCCAUCUCUGGUUCUUGGCCCUGGCAGGUCUCUCUUCAGCACCCCAAUGGUUUCCACUUCUGUGCAGGA